Non-coding RNA from Parelaphostrongylus tenuis, 77 nucleotides. The record is from the annotation of a GenBank genome assembly. Lineage: Eukaryota; Metazoa; Nematoda; Chromadorea; Rhabditida; Metastrongylidae.
GGGGCGUGGUAAUGCAGUGGUUAGCACGUACUCCCGCAAAGUGUGAGACACGGGUUCAGCUCCCGCUUGGUGCUCCA